GAUAAAUGUUUUAUUUUGUCGUGUUUGGUAUGCAGCAUCAUUUUGAUUUUUAUUAGAUUAGUCUUUUCUUUUGACUUCUUUUCUUGCAGGCUCUUUCUGAAGGCAACAUUAUAAGGCUUCAAAAAUAGCACAGUGAGCCAAGAGAAACUGCAAAGACACCGCUGUGGGAUGGUGAUUUGGAUAUAAAAUUCUCUGAGCCAGGUGACAUGUUUAUGACUAACUCACGUCAGACUUACUCAUUUAGUAUUGGCACUAUUUCAAGUAAAAAAGAAUUCUCUUUUUCUAAUCUUUCAGAAGAUAUUAUUAAUUUAAAAGAUAGCUAAAAGGUGCCAUGAGGUUGAGGACAAAAGCAGAUGGCAUAUUCCAGUGUGUGUUUCUGUCCCCUGACAUGGAAUGGUCAGUGGAAAUCCUGUGAUUAUUUUUUGCAGGGUAUGAUAAGCUGUUGGACCAUCUUAGACAACCAUCUAGACCCUGGAGCCAUUGUAGUUUGGAUUCCCAUGACCUCAGGUGCAUCACUGAUGAAAGAAACAAGGAGAUUCCUGAGGGGACCAGACAGAACAAAGGAUGUUUCAGAGCUACCUUUAUGUAUUAAAUACCAAGAACAAGAUGGGAUGACUUACACCUUAGAGAGACUCUUGUGGUCAUGUGACAUCGAAAAUUGGCUAGAUCUGGCAGUUAAAUGAGUUUGAUUGAAAAAAAUUAGAUAGAACUCUUUUUUCCCCUCACUACAUCAGCUGCCAAAGGCUGGGUGCUCUAAACACUCC
RNAcentral lists this long non-coding RNA (764 nucleotides) under Papio anubis (olive baboon). RNAcentral describes it as "lncRNA (ENSPANG00000036567.2)". Lineage: Eukaryota; Metazoa; Chordata; Mammalia; Primates; Cercopithecidae. The record is from RNAcentral.